AUAUAUAUAUACACACGAUAUUUUUAUACUACCCAUCAUCGAGAUAGAGUUGUCGUGCAUACCGAGAACCUCUAGAAGCUUCUCGAAUUUUGUGUUAUCGAGACUCUUUGUGAGAAUGUCAACGCCGGCAGCAGUGGAGGCGAUGUAGGACGCGAGCUGCCACGCGUCAGGGUACGGUGUGGAGUGGAGGCGGGACAAGAGAUGCAGUGUGGAGUCCCCUCUGAAACUACCAUGCUUUUCUUUGACCUAAGAGGUACAGGUGCUCCAAGCAGGCAGAUCACUGUACCACGGCUAAUCGAUCCUUGGAAGGCACAAACAUGGCAACGAGAAACUUGCCAAGAAAAGAAAGGGCAAAACAAAAAGGAAAAUUCAUGCGUCAGGGAGCUCAGGAGUACCAUGUUCCAAAGGGGGCGCAUGCAGCAGCAGGCCAUUGGAAUCCAAGCUCGGGGACAAGAUAAGGCUCUGAUAGGGACUUGAGCUAGCUAGCUAGCCGCCGUGCACUUGGUGGGAGAAAUAAAGCCGCCGCGUUCACUCCCCCUCGCUGCUGGGCUGCCUGCUGUCUCUCUUGGCAAGGGAGCAACGGAAAGAACGGCAGGGGAGAUGAACGAACGGACGGACGGGACGGAUCACAGAUGGCGAGGAGGAGGAGAUGCUGAGAUGUGAAGAAUUCACGUGAGAACAUUAUUCCGGACGGGGACGUGUGCUGGGGAGAAAAGAUUGGAUUUUUUUUUCUCUCUAGAGAAUUUGUUCGUAAUUUUCUUCUGACUUUUUUAGGUUACAACACACUCCCUACGCUACACGUGCGCACCCGCAAGUCUUAAACGCGAUUCGAACGCGGGCAGGCAACAUCGUGCCACGCGAUGCUGCCAACCGAGCUUAGUUUUCUUCUAGCUGAGAGCGGUAGCUCAUAAUGUAAUAUUCUAGUGAUGUCUUGCAAUCAUGCAGCUCCUAGCUUACCAAUUCUAUACUUGACUA
This is a long non-coding RNA of Phragmites australis (common reed), 975 nucleotides long. RefSeq lists it as uncharacterized. The transcript has 2 exons. The record is from RefSeq and is a predicted model, not a curated record. NCBI's taxonomy places the organism in Eukaryota, Viridiplantae, Streptophyta, Magnoliopsida, Poales, Poaceae.